GACGAACGCUGGCGGCGUGCUUAACACAUGCAAGUCGAACGGAAAGGCCCGGCUUUUGUGGGGCGCUCGAGUGGGGAACGGGUGAGUAACACGUGAGUAACCUGCCCUUGACUUUGGGAUAACUUCCGGAAACUGGGGCUAAUACCGGAUAGGAGCUCCUGCUGCAUGGUGGGGGUUGGAAAGUUUCGGUGGUUGGGGGUGGAGGCGCGGGUUGUCAGCUUGUUGGUGGGGUAGUGGGUUACCAAGGCUUUGAGGGGUAGCGGGCCUGGGAGGGUGACCGGCCACAUUGGGACGGAGAUACGACCCAGACUCCAACGCGAGGCAGCGGUGGAGAGUGUUGCACAGUGGGCUGAAGCCUAAUGCAGCAACGCCGCGUGCGGGAUGACGGCCUGCGGGUUGUAAACCGCUUUCGCCUGUGACGAGGCGUGAAUGACGGUAAUGGGUAAAGAAGCACCGGCUAACUACGUG
Molecule: ribosomal RNA, 468 nt
Filed under: uncultured bacterium
Lineage: Bacteria
Description: partial 16S ribosomal RNA
Rfam family: Bacterial small subunit ribosomal RNA
Source: RNAcentral